Polistes dominula (European paper wasp) is the source of this 768-nucleotide long non-coding RNA. RefSeq lists it as uncharacterized. NCBI's taxonomy places the organism in Eukaryota, Metazoa, Arthropoda, Insecta, Hymenoptera, Vespidae. The record is from RefSeq and is a predicted model, not a curated record.
CUUAAAGCAGACCGCAAGAAUAACUUAAGUACGUUCUACGUGACCAAUGAAAUGCAGCCACUUUCGAUGAUUCAUUCGAUGAUUCUUCUCGUCGACUCUGACGCCCAGCUGUCUCCGACUAGAUCGAUUAAUCGAUUCACGACAAACAGAGUCGUCGUCGUUAGUUCAUUCUCAAACUCGAAAUAAACUCGAUCGAUCUCUGUGAUUUCGAUUAAUCCAUUCUUCAUUUUCUUAAUUUCAACAGGAAAGGAAAAGGUAUGGUGCAUUUCUCAGAUAUGUUGUACUCUUUCGAGCGUGAAUAUACAGCUGGGAUCGUUUUACUUUCGAAAGAUACAUAGAUAAGAAGAGAGAGAGAGAGAGAGAGAGAAAGAGUGAUGGGUGUUUAUGUAUCUACUUGAGGAAUGUGUCUUUGUGAAGCAAAGAAGAGUUGAAGGAAGAAUAUAAAGAAAUAAAUAAAGAAAGAAAGGGGAAAGAGUUGAAAGAAGGAAACCUGUACGUUCGUACAUGGAGGUCUUCAUUGAAGAACUUGUUUCUCGAACCAAAUAGGGACGUUUCAUUCAUCCUCAGAUGGAGCGAUCAAGCGUAGGAUAUCUAUCGUCAAUAACAUUAUUUGUAAACCCAUGAUCAUAUCGAUUCCAACUUUAGAACUUGACUUACGAGCAUGUAAACAAUAACGCACGCACGAGUUACCAUGAACGUUAGGAAAACAAUUCAAUCUGUCGUGAUACUUCAUAAUAGAAACACACACACACACACACACACAUUAUA